Molecule: long non-coding RNA, 1259 nt
Organism: Rhinolophus ferrumequinum (greater horseshoe bat)
Lineage: Eukaryota; Metazoa; Chordata; Mammalia; Chiroptera; Rhinolophidae
Exons: 3
Source: RefSeq, a predicted model, not a curated record
ACCGACCACAGUUGGACAAGGACCGCGGAGAGCGCACUCUACCGGUCAUAGGCGGCGCCGCUGAGGAUGCGUUGGGCCGCCUUGCGCCCUGCUGUUUGCAGCCAUUGCUUAACUACUGCGUCAGCCUGGACAUGGAUUUCCGUAUUUAGCGAUGAUCGUGGUCCCGAAUCUUCAGCACUGGAGAAUUGGGUUGCCUUCUGAAGGAAAUACUUUUGAUUCCUUUUGGGCUUCUAAGCUAAGCUUACAUAAAAGCAAGUGGAAGAAUUACUUGGGUCUCCUUCCAGAAGAGGUACAGUGUGAUGGAGGCGGAGUGCAACCACCCUCUGCUAGUCUCCAAGCCUGGCGUUCUGGAGACCAAAGAAAUGCUGGUAGAUAUGGAAAAGCACAGAUAUCCACAUUCCCUCCGGGAAUUUUGGUGGUGGCAGCACAAGAAACAAAGUCAGGAGAAGGAGAGAUUCUAAAUAACUGUAAACAGAAGAUAGAUAUUAAAUAUUGCUGGGAGUUAGAGGUCUUUUUUGGAACAUGAGUGUGUUCUUGUAGGGAAAGCACGUCUUUAAGGGUCAACAGUCACAGUCCUUGUAUAUGAAGAUAGCCUGGUAUUAUCAGAAAAACGUGUUUGAAGUAGUCUGCUGACUAGCAAUAAAGGAUUUCCAGUCAUUUGACCUCAUGCUUUGGCUCAGUUCCUUUUGUAACCGAUGGUGUGCAUAGCAGAUGCCCUGUGACCAGAGCUCAAUAAAUCUAGCCACGUGCUCCUGUAGGGGGACGAGGGGGCUUAAGCCCAGGACCAGGCCUCACAGGCUGCAAAAGGGUCUUCCUUAUCAUGAAGCUUAAGGUAGGGCAUUUUUCUAAUUCCCCCAAAUUGGGUCAUAUCUCCUUUUAUUUUGGUUGAGCUCAUUAAAUUAAGCAAGAAGCAAAACACUUCUUUUUCUUGCUCUGAUGUAGAGUGUGUGCCAGGUUAAGGUUAAAUACAGUUUUUAACACUUCCACUAGGGAUAACUCCAUUCUUGAGGCUCCAAAUUACACACAUUUCAGGAAGAGCUCACAUGCUUCAGAGAGUAGGGAAGGAAUCCCAGAAAGAGAUGACUGGGCAACUAUCCUCACUAACUCCCUACUAAUUUUCAAAGCAACAAAAAGUGCUGAGUGCUUUGGGAUAGGUUUACCCUGGGAAUUUUACAUGAUGGACAUAGUGAGGGUCAUCAGAGUGCUUUCUAGAACAUCAAAAUCAGAAGACUUAAAUUUCAGGCUGGAUAUUCCUUAGU